This 3737-nucleotide long non-coding RNA is filed under the name Gallus gallus (chicken). RNAcentral's name for it is "lncRNA (ENSGALG00010011255.1)". Lineage: Eukaryota; Metazoa; Chordata; Aves; Galliformes; Phasianidae. The record is from RNAcentral.
UGCCUUUUGUUUUCUUAGAGCUUCCAAGAAAAUAUUGCUCAGAAGCAAUGAAGGCCAACUGUUCUUGGAGAAAGGCAUACGGCAACCAGCAAAUCUAGCAAGGCUGCACAGUCAUUUUGAAAGAGGCUUGGAAAAUCCUAACACUGCUAAAAUUUAUCUUCAUAACUGCUGACAAGAUCUAGUAAAAAGUUGGGGCUGUGCUCAUGCAUUUCAUUGCCUUUCAUAAGCCAAGAUCUUAUUAGCAAAUAAUUUUUUCCGAAGUUCAAAAGCCAAACUGUUGUGCAUGCCUAUUGCUUGUAGCAAAGUUAAUAGCUCUUGUUGACAAAGUGUUUUCAAAGUACUGACAUACAUAAUCAUGUUAUACUUGGGUACAUCAGCCAUUUGUUAAAAAUCUGUCACAUUCAGGCUCACCUGAUCACCGUAUCUGUAUGUGGCAGUCUUCUUGACCGUGGUAGAUGGGAUGAACAAGAGCCUCAACGAGAAAGGCAAGUAACUGUGCUGCAGAGCAGGAGGAGAACCAGUCCAGAGGCUAAACAUCGUAAGCCAAGAAAACCUAAGAUCAGUUCUGCAACAUAUUUCCUUACACAGACUUACAUCAUUAAUUCUCUCUGUGUCUCUGUUCUGUAAAAUUGUACUUUUAUAUGACAGGCUCUGAGAAUAAACACAGUAUGAAGUGGCAUACUGACAAGGAACAUGGAAAUGAGUCUCUGAGUCUCUGAUAACUUCCCAUUACCAAUCAGUCAUUUUUAACACUCAAAAUGAAUGAUCCCAGAGAAAUUACAAUGGAAACUACUCACAAGAGACUGAAAAAUCAACAGAUUCCUGAACUGAAUUCAGUUUCACGAGUAUAUGCUUAGAAGGAUUCAUUUCCCAUGAUGAUACCAUUUGGAAAGCAGUCUUUCAAAAUUAUAAGCAAAGCAAAUCACCAUCUAACAGCAAUGCUAUUUCUCUGCACUGGUCACAGUGACCAAGGAAGCCUUUCAAGUCAUGAAGAACACAACCGGGAUGUCUUGAGAAAAACACCUACAAAAACAGCAUAUCCCAAACCUGAGACUCUUGCAUAUUAUUUUUGCACACUUUUUAAUGGUGCUGAUGUUACACAGCGCAGCUAGCCCCUUCAAAAAUGCUAGGACAGAAUCCAUCCUGAAAUACUGAACUGCAGUAACCUCAACACAGGUGCCAACUUUCCUGAGGACUUCUUUACCCUGAGGAGAAGGCAGACACCGCAGAACUUAGAGUUAACUUACCUAUGACCCUUCUCAUAUGAACUUACUCACUGGACAGCACUGUUUCAUUGGACAAAACCACCCCACAACUCUUCUUCUAAGAUGUAUGUUAAGGGGCCAGCAUCUUUUUAUUUUUUUCAAACACGUCUACCCAGCCAGUCACCUUCCUUUUCUCUUUCUGAGAGUGAUUACUUUGCAGUACAGAUCACUGUGACUUGUUCACCCCCUGUAUUCCUUAGGGCUGUAUGUUCUGCCAGCAUCUGUAACAUGGACUAGUAGAUUCUGAGCAUUUCCUGCCCUGUCACCACUGCUGCCCUCAGGUUUCACAGGGUGCCUCUAUAGUAGUUGGGAUCUGGAGCGUGCUUUUUAUGACAGCCCCUCAGUCUCUCCACAUACAGUGCUGUGCUUGCGUCAAAGAGCAGCCCCACACUGCUACCUAACUCCUCACCAUCCACCCACCAAAAAAAAAAAAAAAAAAAAAAACCAAGAAAGUGAAAAGCAAAAUAACCAACCAAUCAACGAAAAAAAAAACCCAACAAACAGUCUGAUACCUUUCCUCUCAGAUAGCAUCUCUAGUGAACCACAACUUUUGAACUGUUAACAUUAUGGGCUAACCUUUAUCAAAAUUGUUAUUAUUCAGGUCCUUGCUCACCUCACUGUAAUGUGAAACUCACCUCUUCCCUUCCACCACUUUCUACUCCUUCUUUCUCUCUUUUGUAUCUUCUUGUUCUAUUUUACCAUAAUAGUUUCGAAUAAAGUUUGAGCUCAUCACUGCACCAAAUGCAUCUGAAAUAACUCCUCCAUCUUCCACGAUUUCUUUGAUUUUCUGAAAGUGAAUUUUUAUGCAAGUUAUAUCAGAGCGAUCUGGAACUUCAGCAUAUCUUUAAAAAUGUCACUUCCUCUAGUUCAGCCAGAUGCAGCAUGGCUUUUCUCUUUGCAUAGUGUGCCAACUCAGGACCUAAGAAACUGAAUGGAAGGACCUCAGCUGACUGCAACAGGCAGUCCCCUAACUUCAUUUAGUUAAGUCGUUUAAACAACUGAUACUGUUUUAUGUUAAAUUUCAUGACUGUGUGACAUUCAGGGAUAACCACGUAUGUUCUGUGUCUUUGGCAAAUACACUUUUCCUAUUAUGCAAUCUGAAAAAAUACUGGUUUUGUUCUAAUGUAAUUGUAAGAAUCAAAUUUAUAUACAAGACCUUUAGAAAACAGAGACCCACCUCUAAAUGCAAAGAACAAACAUUUGCAUUACCUAUUUAUAUUAAAAUAUGCAGAAAUUUCCAAAGUAUUCAGUCAACUUAUAAAUUUUUAUAACUUCUUCAAAUUGUUAACAUUUUUUUAACACACAGCAUUAUUUCAGCUUUGUGGAAAGCUCAAUAACAAUCUUUCUGGUCUGGAAAAAAGGAAAGAACAUUAUAAUAGAGAAUGCAGAAUAAAUAAAAACAAAACAGUACAAGCCGUACAUCCACACAUACAAAGACAACUUUCAUGGUGAGCUAUAAGCAAUUAUAAUAACACAAUGUGCUGCAUGUUGAUUUCACCAGUGAAAAGAAUUUCUCCAGUUAUUGAAGACUUUCCUGGCAGAAUCUCAGAAAAAAAAUCUGACAUUCUCCCAAUCUGACUUCUGUGCAAUGCAAGUCAUGCACAUUUUAAACACUGAUGAAUAAUGCUGCCUUUCUUCUAUGAACUGUUAACAGCUGUAGAAACUAUUAUAGCCUGCUUAUAACCAUGUCUCUGUAGUCAAUACUCUCCAGACACUUAGCAAUACUAAAGCUAUUCCUGGGGCUAAACUAGAAUUGCAAUGCGAAUACAAAGUUUGAUUUAUGUUGAAAUGCAACAACAAACAUCUGAUCUUUCCUUUUUUAAAUGGUCAUUCAUACAAACACGAGUAUCAGCUGCAUAACUAGAAAGUGAUGUACCGAAUUUCUAGAAAUCAGACAAAGGAAGACCACCCACAGUUACCUUCAAGAACAAUAGUUUUGUCGGAGGCUGGAAGAUUGCUGGUGAAGCUGUGGCUUACGAGUGAUGUUUCAAUCAUCUAAUUUUUUCAGGUCUUCUGAAAUACACCAAUUUGAUCAGCAGCUCAGUACCACACCUUGGCGCUGCUCACCAUCAGCUGCACUCAGGCUGAUCACAGGCUCAGUGGACUCCCUAAUAAAAUGGUCCAGAUGCAUCCGAGAGGAACUUGAGGCCUCUAUCUGCCAACGUCAUUCUUUCACAUCCCAAAGCACAGGGGGGAGCUGGAUGUUUUUGAAAUGAUGACUGGAAAGAGAGAAGAGAAGGCACAUACGGAACAAGAACAAACGUUGAAGUACGUGCAGAAUUGGAGAUCUGACCCAUAGACUGAUGCAUAUCACUAAAAUUUAACAGAAAACCGAUGUGUUGAAAAGCUGGUUUUGAUUUCUCAUUCAAACUGCUAUCCAAGUUCAUUUAUUUUUCAAUGCAUCGUCAUCUUUCAAUUAAUGAAAACACAUAAGUAAAUAUGAUUAGAUUUGUGAACAGUUUGUGAUCUCUG